This 867-nucleotide ribosomal RNA is filed under the name uncultured bacterium. RNAcentral's name for it is "bacterial SSU rRNA". It matches the Rfam family "Bacterial small subunit ribosomal RNA", at positions 42 to 896 of the family's 1533-position model. The record is from RNAcentral.
GCAGGCCUAAUACAUGCAAGUCGGACGGGAUUGGAGAGCUUGCUUUCCAUGAGAGUGGCGCACGGGUGCGUAACACGUAUGUAACCUACCUUCACCAGGGGGAUAGCCUCUCGAANGAGAGAUUAAGACCGCAUAACAUUAUUGAAUAGCAUUAUUUAAUAAUCAAAUAUUUAUAGGGCGAAGAUGGGCAUGCGGAACAUUAGCUAGUUGGUAAGGUAACGGCUUACCAAGGCUACGAUGUUUAGGGGAUCUGAGAGGAUGACCCCCCACACUGGUACUGAGACACGGACCAGACUCCUACGGGAGGCAGCAGUAAGGAAUAUUGGUCAAUGGGCGGAAGCCUGAACCAGCCAUGCCGCGUGCAGGAAGACGGCCCUACGGGUUGUAAACUGCUUUUAUACGGGAAUAAACCUUGAUACGUGUAUCAAGCUGAAUGUACUGUAAGAAUAAGGAUCGGCUAACUCCGUGCCAGCAGCCGCGGUAAUACGGAGGAUCCAAGCGUUAUCCGGAUUUAUUGGGUUUAAAGGGUGCGUAGGUGGCCUGUUAAGUCAGGGGUGAAAGACGGUAGCUUAACUAUCGCAGUGCCCUUGAUACUGAUGGGCUUGAAUGAACUAGAGGUAGGCGGAAUGUGACAAGUAGCGGUGAAAUGCAUAGAUAUGUCACAGAACACCAAUUGCGGAGGCAGCUUACUAUGGUUUUAUUGACACUGAGGCACGAAAAGCGUGGGGAUCAAAACAGGAUUAGAUACCCCUGGUAGUCCACGCCCCUAAACGAUGAAUACUCCGAUGUUGGGCGAUAUACGGGUCAGCGUCUAAGCCGAAAGCGUUAAAGUAUUCCAACCUGGGGAAGUAACGCCCGCAARGGGUG